CCUACGGGAGGCAGCAGUGGGGAAUUGUUCACAAUGGGCGCAAGCCUGAUGACGCAACGCCGCGUGGGGGAUGAAGGUCUUCGGAUCGUAAACCCCUGUCGAAUGGGACGAAUAGCUUCCGGAUUAAUACCCCGGAGGAAUGACGGUACCGUUAAAGGAAGCCACGGCUAACUCUGUGCCAGCAGCCGCGGUAAUACAGAGGUGGCAAGCGUUGUUCGGAAUUACUGGGCGUAAAGGGCGCGUAGGCGGCCAUCUAAGUCAGACGUGAAAUCCCCCGGCUCAACCUGGGAACUGCGUCUGAUACUGGAAGGCUAGAGUUUGGGAGAGGGAUGUAGAAUUCCAGGUGUAGCGGUGAAAUGCGUAGAUAUCUGGAGGAAUACCGGUGGCGAAGGCGGCAUCCUGGACCAAUACUGACGCUGAGGCGCGAAAGCUAGGGGAGCAAACGGGGAUUAGAUACCCCCGGGUAGUCCCUAGCCCUAAACGAUGAAUACUUGGUGUGGCGGGUAUCGAUCCCUGCCGUGCCGAAGCUAACGCAUUAAGUAUUCCGCCUGGGGAUACGGUCGCAAGGCUGAAACUCAAAAGUNUAGUGCGNGNGAGACGCGACGACGACGACGACGGAGGAGGAG
RNAcentral lists this ribosomal RNA (626 nucleotides) under uncultured bacterium. Its description in RNAcentral is "bacterial SSU rRNA". It matches the Rfam family "Bacterial small subunit ribosomal RNA", at positions 338 to 949 of the family's 1533-position model. The record is from RNAcentral.